This 464-nucleotide ribosomal RNA is filed under the name Vreelandella stevensii. RNAcentral's name for it is "partial 16S ribosomal RNA". It matches the Rfam family "Bacterial small subunit ribosomal RNA", at positions 338 to 795 of the family's 1533-position model. The record is from RNAcentral. Lineage: Bacteria; Pseudomonadati; Pseudomonadota; Gammaproteobacteria; Oceanospirillales; Halomonadaceae.
CCUACGGGAGGCUGCAGUGGGGAAUAUUGGACAAUGGGGGCAACCCUGAUCCAGCCAUGCCGCGUGUGUGAAGAAGGCCCUCGGGUUGUAAAGCACUUUCAGUGAGGAAGAACGCCUGGUGGUUAAUACCCAUCAGGAAAGACAUCACUCACAGAAGAAGCACCGGCUAACUCCGUGCCAGCAGCCGCGGUAAUACGGAGGGUGCGAGCGUUAAUCGGAAUUACUGGGCGUAAAGCGCGCGUAGGUGGCUUGAUAAGCCGGUUGUGAAAGCCCCGGGCUCAACCUGGGAACGGCAUCCGGAACUGUCAAGCUAGAGUGCAGGAGAGGAAGGUAGAAUUCCCGGUGUAGCGGUGAAAUGCGUAGAGAUCGGGAGGAAUACCAGUGGCGAAGGCGGCCUUCUGGACUGACACUGACACUGAGGUGCGAAAGCGUGGGUAGCAAACAGGAUUAGAUACCCGAUAGUC